This 30-nucleotide non-coding RNA is filed under the name Mus musculus (house mouse). The record is from RNAcentral. Lineage: Eukaryota; Metazoa; Chordata; Mammalia; Rodentia; Muridae.
GCACUCCUUCAAAGACACUGCUUAUCUAAU